This is a long non-coding RNA of Drosophila sechellia, 426 nucleotides long. RefSeq lists it as uncharacterized. The record is from RefSeq and is a predicted model, not a curated record. The transcript has 2 exons. NCBI's taxonomy places the organism in Eukaryota, Metazoa, Arthropoda, Insecta, Diptera, Drosophilidae.
AAUGAAUGCGAUGAAUUAUUUAUACUGAAACCGCAAUCAAUAAAUCUAUCUGCCCACACCAUUCAAUAAUUAAGAAAUCAUUAAUCAGAUCCAGAUAAGAUUCGAUACAGAAAGGGAACUUUUGCCGCACAGUGCGGGAAAAUGGGCGGCAAGGUCGUUGGACGAGGGCAUGAUGAUGUAAUUGCGAAAAGUUCUCUUUGCGCCAAAUUUGCGAACACAAAUUUAUCAGCGCGUCACGCAGUCUGCGACUUGUGCGGCGGAUGUUUACUGUGCCCAUCAUACACUGAAAACAAAAACGAUGAUGUGCUUCACUUUAGUACAUAUCACAGCCGGUACAUUAUGACCUUUUUUGCCUGCUUACUUUACCUGUUUGCAAUUAAGUAUUCAAUAAACAAUAUGCCUUUACUACAGCUUUAAAGUUAAAAA